Molecule: ribosomal RNA, 472 nt
Filed under: uncultured Magnetococcus sp.
Lineage: Bacteria; Pseudomonadati; Pseudomonadota; Magnetococcia; Magnetococcales; Magnetococcaceae
Description: bacterial SSU rRNA
Rfam family: Bacterial small subunit ribosomal RNA
Source: RNAcentral
UUCGGGCGCCGGCGAGUGGCGAACGGGUGAGUAACACGUGGAGACCUAUCCUUUGGUGGGGGACAACAGCUGGAAACGGCUGCUAAUACCGCAUACGCCCUACGGGGGAAAGAUUUAUUGCCGAAGGAGGGUUCCGCGUCGGAUUAGCUAGUUGGUGGGGUAACGGCCUACCAAGGCGACGAUCCGUAGCUGGUCUUAGAGGAUGAUCAGCCACACUGGGACUGAGACACGGCCCAGACUCCUACGGGAGGCAGCAGUGGGGAAUAUUGCGCAAUGGGGGAAACCCUGACGCAGCGAUGCCGCGUGGGUGAAGAAGGCCUUAGGGUUGUAAAGCCCUUUCAGUGGGAACGAUAGUGACGGUACCCACAGAAGAAGCCCCGGCUAACUCCGUGCCAGCAGCCGCGGUAAUACGGAGGGGGCGAGCGUUGUUCGGAAUUAUUGGGCGUAAAGCGCGCGUAGGCGGUUUAUCAAG